CCUACGGGUGGCAGCAGUGGGGAAUAUUGCGCAAUGGGCGAAAGCCUGACGCAGCGACGCCGCGUGAGGGAUGAAGGUCUUCGGAUCGUAAACCUCUGUCAGAAGGGAAGAACGGUCAAUGGGCUAAUCAGCAGUGAAUUGACGGUACCUGCAAAGGAAGCACCGGCUAACUCAGUGCCAGCAGCAGCGGUAAGAAGGAGGGUGCGAGCGUUAAUCGGAAUUACUGGGCGUAAAGCGCUCGUAGGCGGUAUGUAAAGUCAAGGGUGAAAUCCCCGCGCUCAACGUGGGAACUGCCUUUGAACCUGGCAAACUGGAGUGUGUGAGAGGAUAGUGGAAUUCCAGGUGUAGGAGUGAACUCCGUAGAUAUCUGGAGGAACAUCAGUGGCGAAGGCGACUAUCUGGCACAUAACUGACGCUGAGGAGCGAAAGCGUGGGUAGCAAACAGGAUUAGAUACCCUUGUAGUC
This 465-nucleotide ribosomal RNA is filed under the name uncultured bacterium. Its description in RNAcentral is "partial 16S ribosomal RNA". It matches the Rfam family "Bacterial small subunit ribosomal RNA", at positions 338 to 795 of the family's 1533-position model. The record is from RNAcentral.